AGCGAACGCUGGCGGCAGGCUUAACACAUGCAAGUCGAGCGGGCACUUCGGUGUCAGCGGCAGACGGGUGAGUAACACGUGGGAACGUACCCUUUGGUUCGGAAUAACGCUGGGAAGCUAGCGCUAAUACCGGAUACGCCCUUUUGGGGAAAGGCUUGCUGCCGAAGGAUCGGCCCGCGUCUGAUUAGCUAGUUGGUGGGGUAAUGGCCUACCAAGGCGACGAUCAGUAGCUGGUCUGAGAGGAUGAUCAGCCACACUGGGACUGAGACACGGCCCAGACUCCUACGGGAAGCAGCAGUGGGGAAUAUUGGACAAUGGGCGCAAGCCUGAUCCAGCCAUGCCGCGUGAGUGAUGAAGGCCUUAGGGUUGUAAAGCUCUUUUGUCCGGGACGAUAAUGACGGUACCGGAAGAAUAAGCCCCGGCUAACUUCGUG
This 433-nucleotide ribosomal RNA is filed under the name uncultured bacterium. RNAcentral's name for it is "partial 16S ribosomal RNA". It matches the Rfam family "Bacterial small subunit ribosomal RNA", at positions 29 to 507 of the family's 1533-position model. The record is from RNAcentral.